RNAcentral lists this ribosomal RNA (633 nucleotides) under uncultured bacterium. Its description in RNAcentral is "bacterial SSU rRNA". It matches the Rfam family "Bacterial small subunit ribosomal RNA", at positions 41 to 657 of the family's 1533-position model. The record is from RNAcentral.
GGCGUGCCUAAUACAUGCAAGUCGAGCGAAUCGUUGGGAGCUUGCUCCCAAUGGUUAGCGGCGGACGGGUGAGUAACACGUGGGCAACCUGCCUGUAAGACUGGGAUAACUUCGGGAAACCGGAGCUAAUACCGGAUAAUCCAUUUCCUCUCAUGAGGAAAUGCUGAAAGUCGGUUUCGGCUGACACUUACAGAUGGGCCCGCGGCGCAUUAGCUAGUUGGUGAGGUAACGGCUCACCAAGGCGACGAUGCGUAGCCGACCUGAGAGGGUGAUCGGCCACACUGGGACUGAGACACGGCCCAGACUCCUACGGGAGGCAGCAGUAGGGAAUCUUCCACAAUGGACGAAAGUCUGAUGGAGCAACGCCGCGUGAGCGAUGAAGGCCUUCGGGUCGUAAAGCUCUGUUGUUAGGGAAGAAUAAGUACCGGAGUAACUGACGGUACCUUGACGGUACCUAACCAGAAAGCCACGGCUAACUACGUGCCAGCAGCCGCGGUAAUACGUAGGUGGCAAGCGUUGUCCGGAAUUAUUGGGCGUAAAGCGCGCGCAGGCGGUCCUUUAAGUCUGAUGUGAAAGCCCACGGCUCAACCGUGGAGGGUCAUUGGAAACUGGGGGACUUGAGUGCAGAAGAGG